ACAACGAAGAGUUUGAUCCUGGCUCAGGAUGAACGCUAGCGACAGGCUUAACACAUGCAAGUCGAGGGGCAGCACAGGUAGCAAUACCGGGUGGCGACCGGCGCACGGGUGAGUAACGCGUAUGCAACUUGCCUAUCAGAGGGGGAUAACCCGGCGAAAGUCGGACUAAUACCGCAUGAAGCAGGGAUCCCGCAUGGGAAUAUUUGCUAAAGAUUCAUCGCUGAUAGAUAGGCAUGCGUUCCAUUAGGCAGUUGGCGGGGUAACGGCCCACCAAACCGACGAUGGAUAGGGGUUCUGAGAGGAAGGUCCCCCACAUUGGUACUGAGACACGGACCAAACUCCUACGGGAGGCAGCAGUGAGGAAUAUUGGUCAAUGGCCGAGAGGCUGAACCAGCCAAGUCGCGUGAGGGAUGAAGGUUCUAUGGAUCGUAAACCUCUUUUAUAAGGGAAUAAAGUGCGGGACGUGUCCCGUUUUGUAUGUACCUUAUGAAUAAGGAUCGGCUAACUCCGUGCCAGCAGCCGCGGUAAUACGGAGGAUCCGAGCGUUAUCCGGAUUUAUUGGGUUUAAAGGGUGCGUAGGCGGCCUUUUAAGUCAGCGGUGAAAGUCUGUGGCUCAACCAUAGAAUUGCCGUUGAAACUGGGGGGCUUGAGUAUGUUUGAGGCAGGCGGAAUGCGUGGUGUAGCGGUGAAAUGCAUAGAUAUCACGCAGAACCCCGAUUGCGAAGGCAGCCUGCCAAGCCAUUACUGACGCUGAUGCACGAAAGCGUGGGGAUCAAACAGGAUUAGAUACCCUGGUAGUCCACGCAGUAAACGAUGAUCACUAGCUGUUUGCGAUACAUUGUAAGCGGCACAGCGAAAGCGUUAAGUGAUCCACCUGGGGAGUACGCCGGCAACGGUGAAACUCAAAGGAAUUGACGGGGGCCCGCACAAGCGGAGGAACAUGUGGUUUAAUUCGAUGAUACGCGAGGAACCUUACCCGGGUUUGAACGCAUUCGGACCGAGGUGGAAACACCUUUUCUAGCAAUAGCCGUUUGCGAGGUGCUGCAUGGUUGUCGUCAGCUCGUGCCGUGAGGUGUCGGCUUAAGUGCCAUAACGAGCGCAACCCUUGCCACUAGUUACUAACAGGUGAUGCUGAGGACUCUGGUGGGACUGCCAGCGUAAGCUGCGAGGAAGGCGGGGAUGACGUCAAAUCAGCACGGCCCUUACAUCCGGGGCGACACACGUGUUACAAUGGCGUGGACAAAGGGAGGCCACCUGGCGACAGGGAGCGAAUCCCCAAACCACGUCUCAGUUCGGAUCGGAGUCUGCAACCCGACUCCGUGAAGCUGGAUUCGCUAGUAAUCGCGCAUCAGCCAUGGCGCGGUGAAUACGUUCCCGGGCCUUGUACACACCGCCCGUCAAGCCAUGGGAGCCGGGGGUACCUGAAGUCCGUAACCGCGAGGAUCGGCCUAGGGUAAAACUGGUGACUGGGGCUAAGUCGUAACAAGGUAGCCGUACCGGAAGGUGCGGCUGGAACACCUCCUUU
RNAcentral lists this ribosomal RNA (1525 nucleotides) under Parabacteroides distasonis. Its description in RNAcentral is "bacterial SSU rRNA". It matches the Rfam family "Bacterial small subunit ribosomal RNA". The record is from RNAcentral. Lineage: Bacteria; Pseudomonadati; Bacteroidota; Bacteroidia; Bacteroidales; Tannerellaceae.